RNAcentral lists this transfer RNA (74 nucleotides) under Dermacentor silvarum. Its description in RNAcentral is "transfer RNA isoleucine (anticodon AAU)". It matches the Rfam family "tRNA". From Rfam's summary of the family: Transfer RNA (tRNA) molecules are approximately 80 nucleotides in length. Their secondary structure includes four short double-helical elements and three loops (D, anti-codon, and T loops). Further hydrogen bonds mediate the characteristic L-shaped molecular structure. tRNAs have two regions of fundamental functional importance: the anti-codon, which is responsible for specific mRNA codon recognition, and the 3' end, to which the tRNAs corresponding amino acid is attached (by aminoacyl-tRNA synthetases). tRNAs cope with the degeneracy of the genetic code in two manners: having more than one tRNA (with a specific anti-codon) for a particular amino acid; and 'wobble' base-pairing, i.e. permitting non-standard base-pairing at the 3rd anti-codon position. The record is from RNAcentral. Lineage: Eukaryota; Metazoa; Arthropoda; Arachnida; Ixodida; Ixodidae.
GGCCUGCUUGCUCAGUCCGUUAGAGCGUCGUGCUAAUAACGCGAAGGUCGUAGGUUCGAUCCCUGCGCAGGCCA